RNAcentral lists this ribosomal RNA (388 nucleotides) under uncultured bacterium. RNAcentral describes it as "bacterial SSU rRNA". It matches the Rfam family "Bacterial small subunit ribosomal RNA", at positions 28 to 408 of the family's 1533-position model. The record is from RNAcentral.
GAUGAACGCUAGCGGCAGGCUUAAUACAUGCAAGUCGAGGGGGCAGCAGUCCCGCAGCAAUGCGGGAGCUGGCGACCGGCAAACGGGUGCGGAACACGUACAGAACCUUCCUUCGAGCGGGGAAUAGCCCAGAGAAAUUUGGAUUAAUACCCCAUAGCAUUACGAAGUGGCAUCACUUUGUAAUUAAAGAUUUAUCACUCGAAGAUGGCUGUGCGGCUGAUUAGGUAGUUGGCGGAGUAACGGCCCACCAAGCCUUCGAUCAGUAACUGGUGUGAGAGCACGACCAGUCACACGGGCACUGAGACACGGGCCCGACUCCUACGGGAGGCAGCAGUAAGGAAUAUUGGUCAAUGGACGAAAGUCUGAACCAGCCAUGCCGCGUGGAGGA